AAAUGAAAACAAAAUGCCACAGAGAAGCAAACAGAGAAGUCGUCACUCUCCAGUUUCAGUAGUUCACCAAAUAGCCCUGUAUGUAAUGGCAACGAAAAACAUGUCCUCACAGCAAGUAUAAUGCAUCUGAAUGGUGUGACAUGUUUGUGUGUCUGUUUGACGCCAGUUUGACUUGUUAACAUAACACAUUAAUCCCCUUUCUUGCUGUUUAUGUGUCUGUUACUUAGUUUGGCGAACCGUUAAAACUGGAAUCCAGCUGUAACACAUUUAGAGGAAACACAGAACCACUCUGAAACAAGAUCACGUUGUCUUGUCUUUGUCAAGUAUCAAAUUAAUGUGAAGAGUUUUAUUUAAUCUAGUAAACACAUCAUGUUUUAACAUCG
Thunnus maccoyii (southern bluefin tuna) is the source of this 383-nucleotide long non-coding RNA. RefSeq lists it as uncharacterized. The transcript has 2 exons. The record is from RefSeq and is a predicted model, not a curated record. NCBI's taxonomy places the organism in Eukaryota, Metazoa, Chordata, Actinopteri, Scombriformes, Scombridae.